Oncorhynchus tshawytscha (Chinook salmon) is the source of this 1851-nucleotide long non-coding RNA. Lineage: Eukaryota; Metazoa; Chordata; Actinopteri; Salmoniformes; Salmonidae. The record is from Ensembl.
AAAUUACUUGUUAGAUAUUACUGCAUGGUCAGAACUAGAAGCACAAGCAUUUCACUACACUUGCAUUAACAUCUGCUAAACAUGUGUAUGUGACAAAUACAUUUGAUUUGAUUUGACGAGAAUGCUUUUAUUGGCCGCACAUGCAACAUGACAUUGAACACUUUAUCACCAAAGUGUGUAAGUGUAUCAAACAAAAGAAACCCAGUGUAAUAACUAGGGCCUCAAUGCAACAUGUACGAGCCACAGCUCCUUUCCAGAUGAUUUCAAUUGACUAUGUGCAUUUGGAGAAAAGCAGAGGGGGCUACGAGUACAUUUGAGUUAUUUUAGAUAACUUUACAAAAUUUGCACAAGCCUACCCCACCAGAAAUAAGUCAGGGAUAACUGCAGCAAAAAAGCUUUUCGAUGAUUUUUUCCCAAAGUUUUGCUUUGUUUCAGAAAUCCAUCAUGAUCAGGGAAAAGAGUUUGAAAAUCAGUUAUUCAGAGCCUUGCAGAACUGUACGGGAAUAGCCAAUUCCAGUACCUCUCCAUAUCAUCCACAGGGGAAUCCGAGAUUUAACCGUACACUGUUGUCAAUGUUGCACACACUAGAUGAAGAGAAAAUGGCCAACUGGGGAAAUUAUCUGAACAAGAUAAAGGAACAGGAGAAAUCAUACCAGGAUUACGCUAAGAAGUGGCAGCCACAGAUGAUUGAAGCCUUUGACAUCGCCAGUAGAAACAUGGAGAAAUCAACAGCAAAGGGAAAAGCCUACUACGAUCGGAAGAAAAUGAGUUGGGUUCUGGUCUCAGGGGAUCGUGUACCGGUGAGGAACAUGUCAGAACGUGGGGCGCCGGGAAAGCUAAGAUCACACUGGGAGGACCAAAUACAUGUGGUGGUAACCAGGAAAUGUGAUGACAGCCCUGUCUAUGAGGUCAAACCCAAGAGGGGUACAGGCAGGGCCCGGGUUCUGCAUCGCAUUAUGCUCAUGUCAUGUAAUUCCCUACCAUUUGAGGAACCUGUUGAAACACCCAGUAGAGGUCUGUGGAGAAGGGAACCACCCCAGCAAAAUCAGCAAAAUGGGGAGAGCGCUGAGUCUAAGAGCUCAGAUGAGGAUUCUUAUCCAGUAUUCAUCAAUAGGCCACGUAGGGAUGAGGAGAGCAGACAGAGUAGCACACAACUAGUAUCAGAUAAUAGUGAGGAACGGGGUCAGACUGAUAGAAACUUCACUGUGAAGGAGUGCCAGCCAGUCCUCAGAGAGAGCCUGGAGAGGACCCGGGUAAAUAUGGAAACAGCUAAGGGUUCAGAGACUCAAUCAUCUCAUGAUGAAGUGGACACGGAUUCAUUGGGGUCACCCAUGACCUUGCCCCGCCGUUCGGCCCGGCAGAGGAGGCCCAGAGACAUUCUAACCUAUAACACUUUAGGGCUGCCAAGCUCUUCUCAGGAUACCAACUAGAGAUGUUCUGAUGUGUAUAUAUUUUCUCGUUUACCUUUACUAAUCACAGUGUGAUAAUGUUUAGUGGGGGUUUUGUCUUUGCACAUAAAGGCAGACUGGACAUGUCUAGAUAGUUAUGUGGCUGUUAGGCCAGUUUUCUCCGUUGUUCUCACGACCAGUACUUACAUCUUCUGUUUGUUUUGAAGCCAGUGAAAUGUUUGGGGGUGUUGUAAGGGGCUUAGUACAUAUGUACUUCAGCCACUAGGGGGUACUCUGGUGAAGCCCAUGGGAAAUAAAGAAAUAUAGUUUAAGUGAAUUGGGAAGAGUAAGAAUGAAAAACUAAAGAAAGACUGUAAAUGGCUGUUACCUUUGCUGACAUGAUUAAAAGUGCAGUAAACCGUACUUUUCGCGGUGUAGUUUAUAUGAUAAGCUCAUUGGAAGA